UACGGGGGGGGCAAGCGUUGUUCGGAAUUACUGGGCGUAAAGGGCUCGUAGGGGGCCAACUAAGUCAGACGUGAAAUCCCUCGGCUUAACUGGGGAACUGCGUCUGAUACUGGAUGGCUAGAGUUUGGGAGAGGGAUGCGGAAUUCCAGGUGUAGCGGUGAAAUGCGUAGAUAUCUGGAGGAACACCGGUGGCGAAGGCGGCAUCCUGGACCAACACUGACGCUGAGGAGCGAAAGCCAGGGGAGCAAACGGG
Molecule: ribosomal RNA, 253 nt
Filed under: uncultured bacterium
Lineage: Bacteria
Description: partial 16S ribosomal RNA
Rfam family: Bacterial small subunit ribosomal RNA
Source: RNAcentral